Molecule: ribosomal RNA, 495 nt
Filed under: uncultured bacterium
Lineage: Bacteria
Description: partial 16S ribosomal RNA
Rfam family: Bacterial small subunit ribosomal RNA
Source: RNAcentral
GACGAACGCUGGCGGCGUGCCUAAUACAUGCAAGUAGAACGCUGAAGGAGGAGCUUGCUCUUCUGGAUGAGUUGCGAACGGGUGAGUAACGCGUAGGUAACCUGCCUGGUAGCGGGGGAUAACUCUUGGAAACGCUAGCUAAUACCGCAUAAGAGAAGAUGUUGCAUGACAUUUGCUUAAAAGAUGCACUUGCAUCACUACCAGAUGGACCUGCGUUGUAUUAGCUAGUUGGUGGGGUAACGGCUCACCAAGGCGACGAUACAUAGCCGACCUGAGAGGGGGAUCGGCCACACUGGGACUGAGACACGGCCCAGACUCCUACGGGAGGCAGCAGUAGGGAAUCUUCGGCAAUGGACGGAAGUCUGACCGAGCAACGCCGCGUGAGUGAAGAAGGUUUUCGGAUCGUAAAGCUCUGUUGUUAGAGAAGAACGAGUGUGAGAGUGGAAAGUUCACACUGUGACGGUAUCUAACCAGAAAGGGACGGCUAACUACGUG